ACGGGAGGCAGCAGUGGGGAAUAUUGGGCAAUGGGCGAAAGCCUGACCCAGCAAUGCCGCGUGAAGGAAGAAGGUCUUCGGAUUGUAAACUUCUUUUAUGAGGGACGAAGGAUUUGACGGUACCUCAUGAAUAAGCCACGGCUAACUACGUGCCAGCAGCCGCGGUAAUACGUAGGUGGCAAGCGUUAUCCGGAUUUACUGGGUGUAAAGGGCGCGUAGGCGGGGAAGCAAGUCAGAUGUGAAAUCCAUGGGCUCAACUUAUGAACUGCAUUUGAAACUGUUUCUCUUGAGUGCUGGAGAGGUAGAUGGAAUUCCUAGUGUAGCGGUGAAAUGCGUAGAUAUUAGGAAGAACACUAGUGGCGAAGGCGAUCUACUGGACAGUAACUGACGCUGAGGCGCGAAAGCGUGGGGAGCAAACAGGAUUAGAUACCCUGGUA
The sequence is a ribosomal RNA, 437 nucleotides long. It matches the Rfam family "Bacterial small subunit ribosomal RNA", at positions 341 to 792 of the family's 1533-position model.